GAUGAACGCUGGCGGCAUGCCUAAGACAUGCAAGUCGAACGAAGUGAGUUAAUGAAGAUAGAGUGCUUGCACAAAAUCGGAUUUAACUUCACUUAGUGGCAGACGGGUGAGUAACACGUGGGUAAUCUACCCCAAAGACUGGGACAACAGUUAGAAAUGACUGCUAAUACCGGAUAAUUCAUAUUUAGAUAACUAGAUAUGCUAAAAGGAGCUUUACAGCUUCACUUUGGGAUGAGCUUGCGGCGUAUUAGUUAGUUGGUGGGGUAAUGGCCUACCAAGGCAAUGAUGCGUAUCCGGGCUGAGAGGCUGAACGGACACAUUGGGACUGAGACACGGCCCAAACUCCUACGGGAGACAGCAGUUAGGAAUAUUCGUCAAUGGGGGAAACCCUGAACGAGCAAUGCCGCGUGAGUGAUGAAGGUCUUAU
This 427-nucleotide ribosomal RNA is filed under the name uncultured bacterium. Its description in RNAcentral is "bacterial SSU rRNA". It matches the Rfam family "Bacterial small subunit ribosomal RNA", at positions 28 to 420 of the family's 1533-position model. The record is from RNAcentral.